AGUGAACGCUGGCGGUAGGCCUAACACAUGCAAGUCGAACGGCAGCACAGUAAGAGCUUGCUCUUACGGGUGGCGAGUGGCGGACGGGUGAGGAAUACAUCGGAAUCUACUUUUUCGUGGGGGAUAACGUAGGGAAACUUACGCUAAUACCGCAUACGACCUAAGGGUGAAAGCAGGGGAUCUUAGGACCUUGCGCGAGUGAAUGAGCCGAUGUCGGAUUAGCUAGUUGGCGGGGUAAAGGCCCACCAAGGCGACGAUCCGUAGCUGGUCUGAGAGGAUGAUCAGCCACACUGGAACUGAGACACGGUCCAGACUCCUACGGGAGGCAGCAGUGGGGAAUAUUGGACAAUGGGCGCAAGCCUGAUCCAGCCAUACCGCGUGGGUGAAGAAGGCCUUCGGGUUGUAAAGCCCUUUUGUUGGGAAAGAAAAGCAGCAGGUUAAUACCCCGCUGUUCUGACGGUACCCAAAGAAUAAGCACCGGCUAACUUCGUG
RNAcentral lists this ribosomal RNA (492 nucleotides) under uncultured bacterium. RNAcentral describes it as "partial 16S ribosomal RNA". It matches the Rfam family "Bacterial small subunit ribosomal RNA", at positions 29 to 507 of the family's 1533-position model. The record is from RNAcentral.